CGGGAACGGGCCACGAAGAAUGGGUAGAAGGAGCCGGCGGCGGGCAGAGAGAGAACACGCUCCAGGGAACGGGCAGACGGACCAGGUGAAAGAUCUGAACACAGAAUGAGUUUUGCUGUCAUCCCUUUCACGUCCUCGCACCCUCCCUCCUGCCUGCAUGGGGUAUUGGCAUGGCGUAAUCGAAUGAGAGAGGGCCUGGGAGUCAGAGGACCUGGGUUCUAGUCCGACUCGGCCACUUGCCUGCCGUGUGACCCUGGCGCUUAACCCUCUCAGGAAGGCACCUGGAGAAUCGCCAGUGCUCUCCCAGUCUCGGCUACGGAAGGGAGAGUCAAGCGGAGGCCUGUUUGUUCCAUUCCGAGCAUGGGUAGUGGCU
Long non-coding RNA from Ornithorhynchus anatinus (platypus), 373 nucleotides. RefSeq lists it as uncharacterized. The record is from RefSeq and is a predicted model, not a curated record. The transcript has 3 exons. Lineage: Eukaryota; Metazoa; Chordata; Mammalia; Monotremata; Ornithorhynchidae.